RNAcentral lists this ribosomal RNA (453 nucleotides) under uncultured bacterium. RNAcentral describes it as "bacterial SSU rRNA". It matches the Rfam family "Bacterial small subunit ribosomal RNA", at positions 328 to 793 of the family's 1533-position model. The record is from RNAcentral.
GGCCCAGACUCCUACGGGAGGCAGCAGUGGGGAUUAUUGGGCAAUGGGCGCAAGCCUGACCCAGCAACGCCGCGUGAAGGAAGAAGGCUUUCGGGUUGUAAACUUCUUUUCUCAGGGACGAAGCAAGUGACGGUACCUGAGGAAUAAGCCACGGCUAACUACGUGCCAGCAGCCGCGGUAAUACGUAGGUGGCAAGCGUUAUCCGGAGUUACUGGGUGUAAAGGGCGUGUAGGCGGGGACGCAAGUCAGAUGUGAAAACCACGGGCUCAACCUGUGGCCUGCAUUUGAAACUGUGUUUCUUGAGUACUGGAGAGGCAGACGGAAUUCCUAGUGUAGCGGUGAAAUGCGUAGAUAUUAGGAGGAACACCAGUGGCGAAGGCGGCGUGCUGGACAGUAACUGACGUUGAGGCUCGAAAGCGUGGGGAGCAAACAGGAUUAGAUACCCUAGUACUG